This 755-nucleotide long non-coding RNA is filed under the name Homo sapiens (human). Its description in RNAcentral is "non-protein coding lnc-DERL3-1:2". Lineage: Eukaryota; Metazoa; Chordata; Mammalia; Primates; Hominidae. The record is from RNAcentral.
GUGCUUGAGAAGGUUCAAUGGCGUGGCAGGGACUAGCGGCCGAGUUCCUGCAGGUGCCGGCGGUGACGCGGGCUUACACCGCAGCCUGUGUCCUCACCACCGCCGCGGUGGUAAGCGGCCGGGCGGACCGGACGUCGCCUUGGUUACAGCCUCUGGCGGGAGGGGUGAGGGUCGCCAUGGUUACGGCGUGGCUCCCGGGCAGCUCUUGACUGGCCCCUGGUUCCACAGCAGCUGGAGCUCCUCAGCCCCUUUCAACUCUACUUCAACCCGCACCUUGUGUUCCGGAAGUUCCAGGCACCGUUCCUGCCUUGGGCGCUCAUGGGCUUCUCGCUGCUGCUGGGCAACUCCAUCCUCGUGGACCUGCUGGGGAUUGCGGUGGGCCAUAUCUACUACUUCCUGGAGGACGUCUUCCCCAACCAGCCUGGAGGCAAGAGGCUCCUGCAGACCCCUGGCUUCCUGUGAGUGUUGAGAGCCCUCCCUCCCUCUCCCCACCCUCAGAAGGAUCCCCACCGAUGGGGACCUGUGCUGGCCUGUGCUCAACACGGGCCCCUCCCCACAGAAAGCUGCUCCUGGAUGCCCCUGCAGAAGACCCCAAUUACCUGCCCCUCCCUGAGGAACAGCCAGGACCCCAUCUGCCACCCCCGCAGCAGUGACCCCCACCCAGGGCCAGGCCUAAGAGGCUUCUGGCAGCUUCCAUCCUACCCAUGACCCCUACUUGGGGCAGAAAAAACCCAUCCUAAAGGCUGGGCCCAUGC